ACGGGUGAGUAACGCGUGGGAACCUUCCCUGUGGUACGGAAUAACUUCCGGAAACGGAAGCUAAUACCGUAUAUCUCCUCCGGGAGAAAGAUUUAUCGCCAUAGGAUGGGCCCGCGUUGGAUUAGCUAGUUGGUAGGGUAAUGGCCUACCAAGGCGACGAUCCAUAGCUGGUCUGAGAGGAUGAUCAGCCACACUGGGACUGAGACACGGCCCAGACUCCUACGGGAGGCAGCAGUGGGGAAUAUUGGACAAUGGGCGCAAGCCUGAUCCAGCCAUGCCGCGUGAGUGAAGAAGGCCUUAGGGUUGUAAAGCUCUUUUGGCGGGGACGAUAAUGACGGUACCCGCAGAAUAAGCCCCGGCUAACUUCGUGCCAGCAGCCGCGGUAAUACGAAGGGGGCUAGCGUUGUUCGGAAUCACUGGGCGUAAAGCGCACGCAGGCGGACUGAUAAGUCGGGGGUGAAAUCCCGGGGCUCAACCUCGGAAUUGCCUUCGAUACUGUUAGUCUUGAGUUCGGGAGAGGUUGGCGGAAUUCCUAGU
RNAcentral lists this ribosomal RNA (537 nucleotides) under uncultured bacterium. RNAcentral describes it as "bacterial SSU rRNA". It matches the Rfam family "Bacterial small subunit ribosomal RNA", at positions 102 to 674 of the family's 1533-position model. The record is from RNAcentral.